CCCGGGUGGGCCGUGGGCCACAGACAGGGACGGCGCCAGCUCAUCCGCAAGCUGCACAAAUACCUGGGAAGAUGCAGCCGCCUGAAAACUGCCGCGAGGGGAAAAGGCAAACUCCCUUUCGCUUGGGUCAGCAGUGAGCGCAGCAGAUUACCGGCUCCCACCGCACCCCACCCCCACCCGCACCCAGCCCAGGCCCGUCCACCUCCGCCUCCAUCUGCCCCGAUCCCCCAAAAGGCAGGGUUGGCCCAGGAGCCUCCAGAACAGGACCUGGAUCGAUGGCACACUCCAGCCGGAACCCCACUAACCAUGGCCACGUGGUGGUUCCCAGCCUUCACCCCACUGGACACCAGCCCCUGGGGUGAGCCCACAGGAGGUAGCACUCGGGGACCCGGAGCCAGUGUGAGAGGCCGUGCGGCUCACCAAAGCUGCACAGCCGCCGCGGGGGUGCGGGCAGCCAGGGGGGUCCCAGGGCCCUGGGGAUCCAGAAGUGGGGUGCGUGGGAGGCAGUUAAGUGGGAGAAGCAGCCGCUCGGACCCCGAGCUCCUGGUGGGGCCGAGUCCCCAAGGCCCUGCUGAGAAGGCUGGGUCAGAGGUCUGCGGGCCCUCAUGGAGGUCGGGAGGUCGGGCUCCAGCGUUGGGUGUCCCGUAGGGACCCAAGCCCAAGAAGCCCGAGGCACACUGUGCUCCCGGCAUCCCGAGACAGAGCUUUUGUUGGAGAAGCUGAACUUGCUGCCUGACUGCAGAGGGCUCAAUGGUGGCCCCCAAAAGAUACAGCCACCCCGAACCUGUGAACGUGCCCUUGUGUGGAAAAAGGAUCUUUGCAGAUGUAUUCAAGUUACGGAUCUUGGGAUGAGAUCAUCCUGAUUACCCGGUGGGCCCUGAAUCCACUGACACGUUUCCCAGUAAGAGACAGAAGAGGAGAGGCCACGUGAAGACGCGGGCAGAGACGGGAGUGAUGAGGAAGCAGCCUAGGAGCACCUGGGGACACCAGAAGCGGAAGGAACCAGGAAGGGUCCUCCCCCCCAGCCUCCGAGUGAGCACGGCCCUGCCCACUCUUCGAUCUUAGACUUUUGGCCUCCAGAACUGGGAGAGAACACGUCUCUGGUGUUUUAAGCUUCCGAGUUUAGGGUAAUUUGUUAGAACAGCAGCAGGAAGCCAAUAAGCCGAGCUCACACGAGUGCCCGUGUUUCUGGGCCUCAGUUUGUCCCUCCGUAGGAUGGACAUGAUCCAGCAGGGCCUCGGGUGUUGGGUUAGAGGGGUGGGCUCGGCCCCGCUGUCCACGAGAAGCAUCUCCCACUUCUGGAAAGCCCGCCCCACCCCCAGAUUCUGAAGCACGUGGCUAGGGCACUCGGUCACAAUGGCCUGAACAUCUGCAUUUGGGGCUGUCCAGCUAGAGACAGAGCCAGUGGAUGAGGCAGCCACAGACU
Non-coding RNA from Kogia breviceps (pygmy sperm whale), 1426 nucleotides. NCBI's taxonomy places the organism in Eukaryota, Metazoa, Chordata, Mammalia, Artiodactyla, Physeteridae. The record is from RefSeq and is a predicted model, not a curated record.